This 715-nucleotide ribosomal RNA is filed under the name uncultured Actinobacillus sp. RNAcentral's name for it is "bacterial SSU rRNA". It matches the Rfam family "Bacterial small subunit ribosomal RNA", at positions 99 to 810 of the family's 1533-position model. The record is from RNAcentral. Lineage: Bacteria; Pseudomonadati; Pseudomonadota; Gammaproteobacteria; Pasteurellales; Pasteurellaceae.
CGGACGGGUGAGUAAUGCUUGGGAAUCUGGCUUAUGGAGGGGGAUAACUACGGGAAACUGUAGCUAAUACCGCGUAAUAUCUUCGGAUUAAAGGGUGGGACUUUCGGGCCACCUGCCAUAAGAUGAGCCCAAGUGGGAUUAGGUAGUUGGUGGGGUAAAGGCCUACCAAGCCGACGAUCUCUAGCUGGUCUGAGAGGAUGACCAGCCACACUGGAACUGAGACACGGUCCAGACUCCUACGGGAGGCAGCAGUGGGGAAUAUUGCACAAUGGGGGGAACCCUGAUGCAGCCAUGCCGCGUGAAUGAAGAAGGCCUUCGGGUUGUAAAGUUCUUUCGGUGAUGAGGAAGGUGUUUGUUUUAACAGAACAAGCAAUUGACGUUAGUCACAGAAGAAGCACCGGCUAACUCCGUGCCAGCAGCCGCGGUAAUACGGAGGGUGCGAGCGUUAAUCGGAAUGACUGGGCGUAAAGGGCACGCAGGCGGUGACUUAAGUGAGAUGUGAAAGCCCCGGGCUUAACCUGGGAAUUGCAUUUCAUACUGGGUCGCUAGAGUAUUUUAGGGAGGGGUAGAAUUCCACGUGUAGCGGUGAAAUGCGUAGAGAUGUGGAGGAAUACCGAAGGCGAAGGCAGCCCCUUGGGAAUAUACUGACGCUCAUGUGCGAAAGCGUGGGGAGCAAACAGGAUUAGAUACCCUGGUAGUCCACGCUGUAAACGCU